GGAUGUGAAGGCAAUCUGGCUGCGACAUCUGUCACCCUAUUGAUCAUCAGGGUUGAUUUGGCUGAUCUGGCUGGCUAGGUGGGUGUCCCCUUCCUCCCUCACAGCUCCAUGUGCGUCCAUCCCAAAGCUGCUUGCUCAGUCAAUGAGGAUGACCAUCCCUAGUAGAGGAGGACCAGUCUUUGGUCAAGGGUAUGCAAGUAGCUGCGCUCCCCUGCUAGAACUUCUGAACAAGCUCUCAAAGCACACCAUAAAAAAGUGAAAAAGCAAUCCAUGAAAUGGGAGAAAAAGUUGCAAAUCAUAUAUCUGAUAAGGGAUUUGUAUCU
Molecule: small nuclear RNA, 323 nt
Filed under: Cebus imitator (Panamanian white-faced capuchin)
Lineage: Eukaryota; Metazoa; Chordata; Mammalia; Primates; Cebidae
Description: 7SK RNA (ENSCCAG00000005574.1)
Rfam family: 7SK RNA
About the family: 7SK was discovered as an abundant small nuclear RNA in the mid-70s but a possible function has only recently been suggested. Two independent studies have found that 7SK RNA binds the CDK9/cyclin T complex (known as elongation factor P-TEFb).
Source: Rfam by way of RNAcentral